RNAcentral lists this ribosomal RNA (179 nucleotides) under uncultured bacterium. RNAcentral's name for it is "partial 16S ribosomal RNA". It matches the Rfam family "Bacterial small subunit ribosomal RNA", at positions 335 to 526 of the family's 1533-position model. The record is from RNAcentral.
ACUCCUACGGGAGGCAGCAGUGGGGAAUAUUGCGCAAUGGGCGAAAGCCUGACGCAGCAACGCCGCGUGCGGGAUGAAGGCCUUCGGGUUGUAAACCGCUUUCAGCAGGGAAGAAGCGAAAGUGACGGUACCUGCAGAAGAAGCACCGGCUAACUACGUGCCAGCAGCCGCGGUAAUAC